Molecule: ribosomal RNA, 911 nt
Filed under: uncultured bacterium
Lineage: Bacteria
Description: bacterial SSU rRNA
Rfam family: Bacterial small subunit ribosomal RNA
Source: RNAcentral
AACGAACGCUGGCGGCGUGCUUAACACAUGCAAGUCGUACGAGAACGUUUCCUUCGGGAAAUUAGUAGAGUGGCGCACGGGUGCGUAACACGUGGGUAAUCUACCCUGAAGUUUGGGAUAACAUGGGGAAACCCAUGCUAAUACCGGAUAACCCUGUAUUUCAUAAGCAAUGCAGGUAAAGGCGGCCUCUAUUUAUAAGCUGCCGCUUUAGGAUGAGCCCGCGGCCUAUCAGGUUGUUGGUGAAGUAACGGCUCACCAAGCCUACGACGGGUAGCUGGUCUGAGAGGAUGACCAGCCACAUUGGAACUGAAACACGGUCCAGACUCCUACGGGAGGCAGCAGUGGGGAAUAUUGGGCAAUGGGCGCAAGCCUGACCCAGCGACGCCGCGUGGAGGAUGAAGGCCCUCGGGUCGUAAACUCCUGUCAGUGGGGAAGAAGGAAUGAAUGCCAAUACCAUUCAAACUUGACGGUACCUGCAGAGGAAGCACCGGCUAACUACGUGCCAGCAGCCGCGGUAAUACGUAGGGUGCAAGCGUUGUUCGGAAUUACUGGGCGUAAAGAGUGCGCAGGCGGCUCUGUUAGUCCAAUGUGAAAUCCCUGGGCUCAACCCAGGAACUGCAUCGGAUACUGCAGAGCUAGAGUGCGGGAGAGGUAAGCGGAAUUCCUGGUGAAGGGGUGAAAUCCGUAGAUAUCAGGAAGAACACCGGCGGCGAAGGCGGCUUACUGGAACGCAACUGACGCUCAUGCACGAAAGCGUGGGGAGCAAACAGGAUUAGAUACCCUGGUAGUCCACGCCCUAAACGAUGGAUACUGGGUGUUGGGGAGAUUAUUUCUCAGUGCCGUAAGCUAACGCAUUAAGUAUCCCGCCUGGGGAGUACGGCCGCAAGGCUAAAACUCAAAGGAAUUGACGG